UCUGGGCAAAAAGAAUAAAGGCCAUAGCUCUCAGAAAAACAACUGUGCCCUCUCAAAAUCUAUUCUUUGCAAUUAAGAAAUGAAUGAUAUAAACCCUUUGACAUUCAGGAACCAUAAGAACAGGGAAUUCCAGAUGCUUCUGUGACGCUUCCAGCUCUUGAUUCUCAUAUGUGUAAGUCUCAGAUCAAGUCUAUCUCUUCAGCGAUACCACUCCAACCCUUCCAAGGGCUCUCUGAACUUUUCAAAAUACCACUUAUUUCUUCAUUUUUUUCAUACAAAGACAGAAGGCCAGGUUCCUUCUUCACAUCUCUGAUCUCCUCAUCCUGUUUGUUCUCACUCCCAAAUGGCUGUUUACUCUGAAUUAGUGGCAAAUUAGCAAACCAGAGAGGUAAUGAGGUAAUAUGUGAGAGUCAGUUCCUGUCAGGACAAUAAUUGUUACAUCACAGAAGAAGCUAGGGCUCUCCUAGUUACAACAGAUUUUUCAUGGAGGUCCUAUUUAUGAUGUCACUGAGAACUGCCAUCUCCUACCUGCUAAACAGCUUUCCUUACAUUUACCAGAUUCGAGGGUGUCCUUUCCAGGUAUGUCUCCUGUGACACAGUGGAAAGCUUUACGUACUCCAUCUCUCUUAAGCUAGAGACUUAUGUCUGCUUCACUAGUGGUUACAUGCUCUGAAUGGAGAAGGAAUAAAGAAAAGGACUGUUUACUGCACGAUCUCUUGAUAUCACGGAACAAUUCUUCCAACACUACAAAGUGAAAUCUCAUAAAGAAAUGGGUACCCGAAGCCACAGUUUCUUACCUUCUAUUUGGUUGUGCACACUGUGACCACCAUUUCAUUUUAACCAGGUUUAACGCAAAGCUUCUUUGAAGAUGUUCCCAUUUCCACCAACUCACUUCAACCUCAAUGCCCUGGCAUUACCCUACACUGGGGAAACAAGUCUUCACUGGAUUAAAGGAUUUUAAUUCCAAUCAUGCUGGACAGUGCAUUUCUCUGCCACACAUGUGGCUGGAAUCAUUGGUUCCUCAAACUGUACUCACUAGUGGGUUGUUUAAUCCCCCUAAUUUCUGGUGUGGUCUUGUUGGUUGAUAUUGUUGUUCUUCCUGGGGUUUUGCAAAUCCCUUCAGCUCAUUAAGUAUUUUCUCUAAAACUUCCAUUGAAACCCCCAUGUAUAAUCCAAUGGUUAGCUGCAACCAUCCUCAUUUAUAUCAGUAGGGAUCUGUCAGAGCCUCUCAGGAGACAUCCAUAUCUGAUUUCUAUCAGCAAGGAUUUGUUGGCAUCAGCAAUGAAGUCUGAAUUGGGUGGCGGCAUAGUGGAUGGAUCCCCACGUGGGGCAGUCUCUGGUUGACCCUUUGUUCAGUCCCUGCUUGACUCUUUAUCAUUGUAUUUCCUCCCAUGAAUAUUUUGUUCCUUCUUCUUAGAAACAAUGUAGCAUCCACAUUUUGGUCUUCUUUUAGCUUGGGAUUCAUAUGA
Molecule: non-coding RNA, 1469 nt
Organism: Rattus norvegicus (Norway rat)
Lineage: Eukaryota; Metazoa; Chordata; Mammalia; Rodentia; Muridae
Source: RefSeq, a predicted model, not a curated record